AUAACAUCGCUGUAAUCACAAACUUGUUUUUCCUAACACUGCAAUCUACAGAAGUUUCAGGAUUUCCUCUAAUAAACAUAAGGACCAGAUGGAAAGAAACUGGGCAAGCCAAUGAAAGUCUCUGGGGAUCAUGGGAAUUGAGUGUCUAUGAAAACCAUAUUCCAGACAAGAAUAUAGUCUAAGGACACAGCAAGAGGCAACAUUUUGGAAGCAGAGGGCAACUCUCACUGGAAACCAAAUCUCCUGGCACCUUGAUCUUGGAUUUUACAGCCUCCAGAACUGAUAGCUGGGAGGCAUUACAUAGUCAUGUGCGAGGUCAAAACUGAGUCACCACCACAACCAAGUUCCAGCUGGCAAGAAGAGGAAAAAUAACACAGAGGAGUUAUGACCAGUGUUGUAAGGAUCUGGCCUAGAAAUGGCAUGCAUCUCUUCCACUAAUAUCCUAUUGGUAAAAAUGUAGUCACAUGGGCACACCACCUAUCUGCAUGGAAGGCUGGGAAAUGUUGAUCGGUAGGGCAGCCAUAUGUGUAGGAAGGAGAAAAC
This is a long non-coding RNA of Homo sapiens (human), 543 nucleotides long. Ensembl annotates it as WDFY3 antisense RNA 2. Its record names the gene WDFY3-AS2. NCBI's taxonomy places the organism in Eukaryota, Metazoa, Chordata, Mammalia, Primates, Hominidae. The record is from Ensembl.